Molecule: ribosomal RNA, 35 nt
Filed under: Scomberoides lysan (doublespotted queenfish)
Lineage: Eukaryota; Metazoa; Chordata; Actinopteri; Carangiformes; Carangidae
Description: partial 5.8S rRNA
Source: RNAcentral
ACACUCUCUAGCGGUGGAUCACUCGGCUCGUGCGU